GCAAGUGACACGGGCGCAGGAGGCGGAGGAGAACUACGUCAUCAAGCGGGAGCUGGCGGUGGUGCGGCAGCAGUGCAGCUCGGCGGCCGAGGACCUGCAGAAGGCACAGAGCACCAUCCGGCAGCUACAAGAGCAGCAGGUAGGGGCGGGUGUGCAGGGCUGCUGGGCGGGGCCAUGCCCCGCGCCCCCGCCCUCGCCCAACGGUUUUCUUUCAGGGCUCAUAUCUGCCCCGCCUCAGCGCCUGGCCCUCCUGUUCCUUUCUGGGGUAAGGGGAACCCAGAGACAAGCGCAGAUUCUCCCCCAGCAGCUCCAC
RNAcentral lists this small RNA (313 nucleotides) under Pan troglodytes (chimpanzee). Its description in RNAcentral is "processed transcript". Lineage: Eukaryota; Metazoa; Chordata; Mammalia; Primates; Hominidae. The record is from RNAcentral.